RNAcentral lists this ribosomal RNA (630 nucleotides) under Weissella halotolerans. RNAcentral's name for it is "bacterial SSU rRNA". It matches the Rfam family "Bacterial small subunit ribosomal RNA", at positions 1 to 624 of the family's 1533-position model. Lineage: Bacteria; Bacillati; Bacillota; Bacilli; Lactobacillales; Lactobacillaceae. The record is from RNAcentral.
GCGGUAGCAUGCUGGCUCAGAUCGCCUUGUCGUAUCCACCUGAUAUUAGAGAGCUUGCUCGAAGAAGACGUUGAACAAUGCAAGGAGUGGCGAACGGGUGAGUAACACGUGGGAAACCUACCUCUUAGUAGGGGAUAACAUCUGGAAACAGGUGCUAAUACCGCAUAACAACGAUAACCGCAUGGUUAUCGCUUGAAAGGUGGCGUAAGCUACCGCUAAGAGAUGGUCCCGCGGUGCAUUAGUUAGUUGGUGAGGUAAAGGCUCACCAAGACGAUGAUGCAUAGCCGAGUUGAGAGACUGAUCGGCCACAAUGGGACUGAGACACGGCCCAUACUCCUACGGGAGGCAGCAGUAGGGAAUCUUCCACAAUGGACGAAAGUCUGAUGGAGCAACGCCGCGUGUGUGAUGAAGGGUUUCGGCUCGUAAAACACUGUUGUAAGAGAAUAAUGAUACUAAGAGUAACUGUUUAGUAUGUGACGGUAUCUUAGCAGAAAGGAACGGCUAAGUACGUGCCAGCAGCCGCGAUAAUACGUAUGUUCCAAGCGUUAUCCGGAUUUAUCGGGCGUAAAGCGAGCGCAGACGGUUGGUUAAGUCUGAACUGAAGGCCCACAGCUUAACGUGUGGAACUAC